Molecule: unclassified non-coding RNA, 431 nt
Filed under: plant metagenome
Description: partial contains 5.8S ribosomal RNA, internal transcribed spacer 2, and large subunit ribosomal RNA
Rfam family: 5.8S ribosomal RNA (bases 1-102)
Source: RNAcentral
AAACUGCGAUAAGUAGUGUGAAUUGCAUUUAGUGAAUCAUCGAAUCUUUGAACGCACCCUGCACUCACUGGUAUUCCGGUGAGUACGCCUGUUUCAGUAUCAUUGAAAACACACAAUCAAAACAUUUUCUUUGGUUUGAUUGGCUUUGGGUCUAUCAAAAAGUUUGGCUUGUUUCUUACAAGCCAAGCGGCCUGAAAUAUAUUGUCUGGCUAAUUGCAUCGUUGAUGAUCGCUAUUAGACUUUGGCUUUUUUAAAUGAACUGGAGGUUGAUUAACCAGUUUUAGCUUUAGUCAAAUGGUCAUUGUAAAAAAAAUCUAGAUCUUGGCUAGGUGUUUAUAGCCGAAAAUUUUUUUUUGGCUAUAACCGAAACCAAUAUAAUCGCAUUUAGUUAUCGAUCUGAAAUCAGGUGGGACUACCCGCUGAACUUAAGC